AGUGAACGCUGGCGGUAGGCCUAACACACGCAAGUCGAACGGCAGCACAGAGGAGUUUGCUCCUUGGGUGGCGAGUGGCGGACGGGUGAGGAAUACAUCGGAAUCUACUCUGUCGUGGGGGAUAACGUAGGGAAACUUACGCUAAUACCGCAUACGACCUACGGGUGAAAGCAGGGGAUCUUCGGACCUUGCGCGAUUGAAUGAGCCGCUGUCGGAUUAGCUAGUUGGCGGGGUAAAGGCCCACCAAGGCGACGAUCCGUAGCUGGUCUGAGAGGAUGAUCAGCCACACUGGAACUGAGACACGGUCCAGACUCCUACGGGAGGCAGCAGUGGGGAAUAUUGGACAAUGGGCGCAAGCCUGAUCCAGUCAUACCGCGUGGGUGAAGAAGGCCUUCGGGUUGUAAAGCCCUUUUGUUGGGAAAGAAAUCCAUCUGGUUAAUACCCGGGUGGGAUGACGGUACCCAAAGAAUAAGCACCGGCUAACUUCGUGCCAGCCGCCGCAGUAA
Molecule: ribosomal RNA, 506 nt
Filed under: uncultured bacterium
Lineage: Bacteria
Description: partial 16S ribosomal RNA
Rfam family: Bacterial small subunit ribosomal RNA
Source: RNAcentral